AUACCAGUACUGAGUAGUGCUAUUUUGAUUGUACCAGUUGCCAUAGAGCUGCAUUUGGACUGCUACCCAGUUGCCAUAGAGCCCCAUUUGGACUGCUACCCAGUUGCCAUAGAGCCCCAUUUGGACUGCUACCCAGUUGCCAUAGAGCCCCAUUUGGACUGCUACCCAGUUGCCAUAGAGCCCCAUUUGGACUGCUACCCAGUUGCCAUAGAGCCCCAUUUGGACUGCUACCCAGUUGCCAUAGAACCCCAUUUGGACUGCUACCCAGUUGCCAUAGAACCCCAUUUGGACUGCUACCCAGUUGCCAUAGAACCCCAUUUGGACUGCUACCCAGUUGCCAUAGAACCCCAUUUGGACUGCUACCCAGUUGCCAUAGAACCCCAUUUGGACUGCUACCCAGUUGCCAUAGAACCCCAUUUGGACUGCUACCCAGUUGCCAUAGAACCCCAUUUGGACUGCUACCCAGUUGCCAUAGAGCCCCAUUUGGACUGCUACCCAGUUGCCAUAGAGCCCCAUUUGGACUGCUACCCAGUUGCCAUAGAGCCCCAUUUGGACUGCUACCCAGUUGCCAUAGAGCCCCAUUUGGACUGCUACCCAGUUGCCAUAGAGCCCCAUUUGGACUGCUACCCAGUUGCCAUAGAACCCCAUUUGGACUGCUACCCAGUUGCCAUAGAACCCCAUUUGGACUGCUACCCAGUUGCCAUAGAACCCCAUUUGGACUGCUACCCAGUUGCCAUAGAACCCCAUUUGGACUGCUACCCAGUUGCCAUAGAACCCCAUUUGGACUGCUACCCAGUUGCCAUAGAACCCCAUUUGGACUGCUACCCAGUUGCCAUAGAACCCCAUUUGGACUGCUACCCAGUUGCCAUAGAGCCCCAUUUGGACUGCUACCCAGUUGCCAUAGAGCCCCAUUUGGACUGCUACCCAGUUGCCAUAGAGCCCCAUUUGGACUGCUACCCAGUUGCCAUAGAGCCCCAUUUGGACUGCUGCCAAAAUAAAGGAAACCCCAACAUAGUGUCUUUAAUAGGGCACUGGGCACUACGAGCCAGAACAGCUUCAAUGCACCUUGGUAUAGAUUCUACAAGUGUCUGA
This is a long non-coding RNA of Oncorhynchus kisutch (coho salmon), 1092 nucleotides long. Lineage: Eukaryota; Metazoa; Chordata; Actinopteri; Salmoniformes; Salmonidae. The record is from Ensembl.